This is a long non-coding RNA of Rhinichthys klamathensis goyatoka, 254 nucleotides long. RefSeq lists it as uncharacterized. The transcript has 3 exons. The record is from RefSeq and is a predicted model, not a curated record. Lineage: Eukaryota; Metazoa; Chordata; Actinopteri; Cypriniformes; Leuciscidae.
GGAUGGUGAUUGUUUCAUCUGUAAUCAAGAUGGCAAUUUCAAACUUUAUGUUUUUGGUCUUUUUGUGUCACCAACUGGUGCCCAAUGGAUUUGCCUCUCCAGUUGGGCGUCAUUUUUACCAGACUGAUAUUGAACAAGCACGCUUGGAGAGCAAAGAUGGUCCCUUGUCUGUCCCUUGUGUGAACAGACAAAAUCCAACAUGGCCAGUGGUAGUGAAAUGUAAAAUGGCUGUUGAGAUGUCUUUGCCGAAUGCA